UACGUAGGGUGCAAGCGUUGUUCGGAAUCAUUGGGCGUAAAGCGCGUGUAGGUGGUUUGUUAAGUCGAUUGUGAAAUCCCUGGGCUCAACCGAGGAAGUGCAGUCGAAACUAACUGACUAGAAGAUGGUAGAGGAAGGUGGAAUUCCAAGUGUAGAGGUGAAAUUCGUAGAUAUUUGGAGGAAUACCGGCGGCGAAGGCGGCCUUCUGGGCCAUUCUUGACACUGAGACGCGAAAGCGUGGGUAGCAAACAGG
RNAcentral lists this ribosomal RNA (253 nucleotides) under uncultured bacterium. RNAcentral describes it as "partial 16S ribosomal RNA". It matches the Rfam family "Bacterial small subunit ribosomal RNA", at positions 524 to 776 of the family's 1533-position model. The record is from RNAcentral.